Ciona intestinalis (vase tunicate) is the source of this 3460-nucleotide non-coding RNA. NCBI's taxonomy places the organism in Eukaryota, Metazoa, Chordata, Ascidiacea, Phlebobranchia, Cionidae. The record is from RefSeq and is a predicted model, not a curated record.
UAUAACUAGAUAAAACAGAAUUAAGUUACUUGUAGAUAUAAAUACAUGGGGCUAUACAAUAAAGUUGACACACUUUUUCCGCUAGGAGGUGACCCCUAACCCCUAGAAGGCUAAACCCUAACCCCUAACUCGUGCUAAUCAAACAAAAAAAAACUUAAAAAAAAAAAAAAAAAGUAUUAUACUGUGCGGGACUCGAACCCGGUAAAAAUGAAACAAAGAGAGUAAAUGACCACGUGCAAACCGUUACACCACAGCCUCACCGAUAUGGAAAAGAUGUUCUUACUAGUGUUUUAUGUAUUUAGAAAGGUAUUAUUAUUAUUUAAUUAAUUUGUUUUACACUUAUUAACACUUUGUAGCGUUGUUUUGAGCGUUUCUAUAGAUUUUUUAAUUUAAAUAAUUACCGACACCUAGCGGAAAAGGUGUACCUACUUCUUCGUAUAGUCCCAUGUGAUAUAAAUUGAUAUAUGCAUAGGGAUAGGCCAAUUAAGUACACGCAUAAUAGAUGAGUUACUCUAGAAUUUUUUGCCCAAAGAUUGUACGAUAAGGUAAAUUCGUAAAUAUUAGGAUUUUUUUUCACAAAAGAAAAACGCAACAAAAACCGGGCAAGUUUGUUUAAACCUACUGCGAUAGUCACUGAUUUUGCUAUCUUUUGCUCUUUCAGACACACAGUAACAGACCGCAAACUCACAACUCACAAGGCGGCAGCUGGACGAUUGGGUGUCUCUAUGACUGGCUUAAAAGUGCCAAUCAAACUGCAAAACUGCUGCAGUUGUCGAAACCACUUUUGGUCAUAAAGAAAACCGUUGUUCCUCUUCUUCAGUAUUAAGGGUAAAACAACAACAAUUCCAGAGGCACUUUCUUACUUCUGUUAAACUGUUGGCAUCACUAACAAAUUAGUUAAGAAUUAAACGACAAAACAAAAGAGAAAAGCUCUAAUGAAUAAGCACGUAUUGCAAUUAGCAUAACUUAAAUUAACCUUUUUUACUAACACAGUUGAUUAAGUUUCGGUCGCCAUCUAUGAUCGUGUAUCAGUAAAUUCAAUUAACUCAACUUUGCGCCGUGUGUUGAUCUGUAAACUUACAAUAGUUAACCUGUUAAAAAAGUAUGUUUUUUUUGCGUUUUUGUAAAAGUAAACAUAUUUUAAUCACUCUGUAAUUAAUUCGACGAUUAAGGACCUAUAUGACCACUUACGUGCUCAGUUAUACAGCACUAAAGCACACACAGGGCAACCGAAAAAUGUGGUGAAUUCAACCCCGCCGCGUUAAUAAUUUGAUUAGCAGACGCUCCCACUUUUUCGUUGAUUCCCCGGACAUGUAAAACGUCGUCCUUACAACACGUUGCAACUGAACACAGCAGUUUGGAAGCAGCGACAAAGCUACACUGUAUGAACUUAUUUCAGGAUUAUGUUUGUUUCUUUAACAAGAGUUGAAGUUAAGUACUAUUGCUACUGUUUAGUUUUACCUAAUUAUAAGCUAUGUUUUUGUUUAUUAUUUAGUGUUACUUAGUUACAAUGUAGUAUGAGUAUUAUAUAUUUAUGUGUAAACCCUAUUAAAUUUAUUUUAAUAUUGUGGCUUGCGAUAAGGUAUUCUCAUUUCAUAUUUCAGGCAUUUCGCUACGUUUCUUAAUUUUGUCACAAUACAAGUCACUCGCGCCGUUACAUCGAUUUACACGAUCGCCGCGUUACGACACAAUACGUCUGUACGACAUCGCCCGCUAUUAUUACGUCAUAGUCAGCUUCACGCCCGAGAGCACAGGUUUGCGACGUCACAUUGCGGUUUCUUCUAUUCGCUCUGGCUUUUCGCGGCAUUUUUUCAUGGGGCCCCAUGCGCGCUUUGCUUUGUCGCAAGACACACAUUACUUAUAUGCUUUCAUAUUAAUUUUACUCUAAAAUAUAUAUUCGUGCUGUUAGCAUAAAAUGAAACAUGAAGAUCAAAGAUUUGGUAAAGUAUAAAUCACAAUUGGCAUUAUUACGUACACCGGGUCUUUUUCAGAUUACAUAGAUGUGACGUCACGAAGUGGUGAUGACGCAACAGAAGAACCCACUUCAACUUGGUAUGUGACGUCACAGAGGACAGAACGCGAAUCGGGAAUGAAGAUAAGCCAGCGUAUAUACUGCAGAAGAAAAGCGUAAGAAGAACAGCAAAGGCGAAGACGACGAAUAAGGAUAUGCCGAUUUGCGAGGUUUUGUUUAGGCUUAGGAGUUGUGUGUUGUUGGGGCGUGAUUGCUGGAGCACUCUUACAGUGUUGCCGGAUUUGUGUUUGUCUUUUUGUUUUUGGUGGGACUAAUAUGCCCAGCCUUUUUGUCAGUCACUACUUUAGUGCAUUUUGCAUGUCACUGAAAUAUAAGCAAUGAAACUAUGGCAAACAUCUUGCUGGAUCGGAUUUUGUUGUUGUACACGUCAUUGUGUGUUUCUUCUGCAAAGGUCGAAUCUUUUAGCGAUUCUGCAUUGUCCUAAUCACUUGAUAAGAACGGCGUGUUGGUACACAAAUACUUGAGUAAUAUCCACGCGCAUUAUAAUAUACACGCAGUUUAACUUUUAGAUUUGAUGUCUGUAUUUUUCAUUGAAUAAUUGAACCCGUUAAACUGUUAUUUUUGAACAAGCUUAAUUGUGACGCUGGCCACGUUACAAUUACGCUAUACGUCGAUGGGACUUUAAGGCCCAACGUUUGGUGCGGUUAUGUCAUAGUUAUAGACUGAGUUACGUUACUGUUGGGUUGUUGCGUAGACGUCGCCGCCAGUGGUGCUACGCCAGUUUUAGGCCACAAUUAGUGCGGUUCGUAAUAACCUGACGCGGUUUCGUAACGGUCGAAGCCGUGCUUAACGUCCGAACGAUAUUAUAUUGCGUGAAGAUACGACAAGAGUAUCGCGGUACCAACAUGGCGAAUUACCUUUUGAUUGGGACAUGCGGAGAUGUUAUUAGCUUCGACUCUUUGUUGUCGGACAUUUAAUAAUUUGUACACUGCAGCUGAUUAUCCUACAGGAUUUGAACCAAGUUUUCUUUGAAGAUGUUUCAAUGAUUAUGUCCGCGUUAAUUAACUUUUGGUACCCGUUCCAUUUUUGGUUAUGAUUGAGCUGUUGUAUGUAUUGCAUGUUUCACUUUUUGUAAUUGCACCUCGUUGUAUGAUUGUUUUGUCUUUUUUUUUCGUGCACAUGUGCGUGUGCAUUCGUUGUAUCAUUUUUGUCUAGGGGGGUACUUUAACCUGCGUGGACAGUAACAUCCCGCAAGGGUUUCUCACCUAAGUAGAAACCCACUACCAUUGGCUGGGGGCUUGUCGUGCCGUAGUGGCUUUAUACCAACGCCAGCCACAUAAAUUAUGAAGGUAUUUUAAUCCUAUUUUAAUUUUUCAGAAGGCAAUUAUUUCCUAAAGAGCAUUAGCGACCGUUGUUUUAAUUUGCACUGCUAUUAUAAUGAUAUUCUCGUUAAAUUUGAACGCAUUAAAACAAAAAACAUGAAUCGCA